Molecule: ribosomal RNA, 322 nt
Filed under: uncultured eukaryote
Lineage: Eukaryota
Description: partial 18S ribosomal RNA
Rfam family: Eukaryotic small subunit ribosomal RNA
Source: RNAcentral
CCCUUAGAUGUUCUGGGCCGCACGCGCGCUACACUGACUGGUGCAACAAGUGUCUGACCUUGGCUCGAGAGGCCUGGGCAACCUUUGAACGCCAGUCGUGCUGGGGAUAGAUUCUUGCAAUUAUUAAUCUUCAACGAGGAAUUCCUAGUAAACGCAAGUCAUCAGCUUGCAUUGAUUACGUCCCUGCCCUUUGUACACACCGCCCGUCGCACCUACCGAUUGAAUGGUCCGGUGAAAUCUCGGGACGGCGGCUUGGUCGCUUGCGUCCGACUGCUGAAACUUGAUUAAACCAUAUCAUUUAGAGGAAGGUGAANUCGUANCA